Molecule: non-coding RNA, 560 nt
Organism: Odocoileus virginianus texanus
Lineage: Eukaryota; Metazoa; Chordata; Mammalia; Artiodactyla; Cervidae
Source: RefSeq, a predicted model, not a curated record
AUGACUUGAAAUAAGAACAAACAUAUCUGCCACAGUGAGGAGAACACUUUUUUCUCCCUCCAGUGAAUUACUAAAGUGGGCUUUACAUACACAGACAAACAAUUUAUUUCCAACUAUGUAAAAAUGUUGUGAACUCACACUGGGACGCUAGCCUGCAGAGAGGAGAAGUGCUGAAGCCAGAGGGGGCUGUGUGGGCUCUUUGCUAAAGAUGGAGCAUGCGCGAUGGUUCCAUUUAUUUCUAAUGACUGUUUAUCCUCUGGCUUUUAUGAUCGCAAACUGAUGAUCACUUGAUGGAGAACCUACAUUGAAAGUGGGAAAGUCUUAGAAGGACUGAGUUUGGAUGGGGGAAGAUUACGAAUUUGGAUUUGGCUAAAUUUGAGAUAGCAUUCUGAGACCUACAGUACUGCUUUACAAGGAUGACUGUAAGAGCUGAAAGCCAAUUGUAUCCACAGCAGAUGAUCUGGUGCACAGCUUUGUAACUGGAGCUGCCAGAUAAUCCCGUGGUUCAAGAGGUGGAUGAGAAUGCUUAAAAUCUAUUCUUUUGGAAAAUUUCAAGUAUA